GACGAACGCUGGCGGCGUGCUUAACACAUGCAAGUCGAACGGAAAGGCCCUGCUUUUGUGGGGUGCUCGAGUGGCGAACGGGUGAGUAACACGUGAGUAACCUGCCCUUGACUUUGGGAUAACUUCAGGAAACUGGGGCUAAUACCGGCUAGGAGCUCCUGCUGCAUGGUGGGGGUUGGAAGGUUUCGGCGGUUGGUGAUGGACUCGCGCCUCAUCAGCUUGAUGGUUGGGUAGUGGAUUACCAAGGCUUUGACGGGUAGCCGGGCUGGGAGGGGGACCGGACCAACUGGACUGGAAAUGAGACACGGACUCCUCCCGGAGGGGAGGGAGCGGUAGAGAGUACUGGAGGAGGGAGGAAAGCGCAGUCAAGCAGUGUGGGGUGAGAGAGCCAUGGGUUAGGAAACCACAUUCGUCUGUCACGAGAUGAGAAUGACGGUAACGGGUGAAGAAGCUCCGGCUAACUACGUG
This 468-nucleotide ribosomal RNA is filed under the name uncultured bacterium. RNAcentral describes it as "partial 16S ribosomal RNA". It matches the Rfam family "Bacterial small subunit ribosomal RNA", at positions 28 to 507 of the family's 1533-position model. The record is from RNAcentral.